This 76-nucleotide transfer RNA is filed under the name Acidobacteriota bacterium. RNAcentral's name for it is "Acidobacteria bacterium tRNA-His". It matches the Rfam family "tRNA". From Rfam's summary of the family: Transfer RNA (tRNA) molecules are approximately 80 nucleotides in length. Their secondary structure includes four short double-helical elements and three loops (D, anti-codon, and T loops). The record is from RNAcentral. Lineage: Bacteria; Pseudomonadati; Acidobacteriota.
GUGGGUAUAGCUCAGUUGGUAGAGCACCGGGUUGUGGCCUCGGGUGUCGUGGGUUCGAGCCCCACUACUCACCCCA